AGCGAACGUUAGCGGCGGGCCUAACACAUGCAAGUCGAACGCGAAAGGUCUUCGGACUGAGUAGAGUGGCGCACGGGUGAGUAACACGUAGGUAAUCUACCCUUUGGCGGGGGAUAACGUUCCGAAAGGAGCGCUAAUACCGCAUAAGACCACGGUAGUCUCCGGACGCCGUGGGAAAAGGUGGCCUCUUCUUGAAAGCUACCACCGAAGGAUGAGCCUGCGUCCCAUCAGCUAGUUGGUAAGGUAAUGGCUUACCAAGGCGAAGACGGGUAGCUGGUUUGAGAGAAUGAUCAGCCACACUGGCACUGGAACACGGGCCAGACUCCUACGGGAGGCAGCAGUGGGGAAUAUUGCGCAAUGGGCGAAAGCCUGACGCAGCCACGCCGCGUGAGCGAUGAAGGUCUUCGGAUCGUAAAGCUCUGUGGGGGGAGAAGAAGAAAGCCGGUGAAGAGCCGGCCCUGACGGUAUCCCCUUAGCAAGCACCGGCUAACUCCGUGCCAGCAGCCGACGG
RNAcentral lists this ribosomal RNA (511 nucleotides) under uncultured bacterium. RNAcentral's name for it is "bacterial SSU rRNA". It matches the Rfam family "Bacterial small subunit ribosomal RNA", at positions 29 to 520 of the family's 1533-position model. The record is from RNAcentral.